AUGGGGGAUACAAAGUGAAUAAAGUGUAAUUAAUAAAAAUAAAAAUAAAAAAUAAAAAAAUAAAAAAAUCCAUCUAUACCACUACUAGGCAUAUAUCCAAAAGAUGUUCAAGUACACAACAAGGACAUUUGUUCAACCAUGUUCAUAGCAGCUUUAUUUGUAAUUUCCAUAACCUGGAAACAACCCAGAUGUCCCUCAAGGAGGAAUUGAUACAGAAAUUAUUAUUCCUUUACACAACGGAAUACUACUCAGCAAUUAAAAACAAGGCAAUCCUGUUAGACCAACACCAUUUGUUGAAGAGGCUGUCUUUUUUUUUUUUUUCCAUUGAAUGGUUUUGGCAUCUUUGUCAAAAAUCAGGUGUCCAUAAGUGUGUGUAGUUAUAUCAGGGUCUUCUAUUGAAUUCCAUUUAUCCACCAGUUGGUUUCUAUGCCCGUACCAUGCAGUUUUUAUAACUGUUGCUCUAUAGUACAACUUGAGAUCAGGUUUUGUGAUCUACCUCCAGAAGAUCUUUUAUUGUAGAGGAUUAUUUUAGCAAUUCUGGGUUUCUCUUUAUUCCAUAUGAAGUUGAGAAUUUUUCCUUCAAAGUCUGGAAAUAAUUGUGUUGGUAACUUGAUGGGAAUUGCAUUGAAUCUGUAGAUUGCUUAGAUAGCCAUUUUUACUAUAUUAAUCCUGCUAAGCCAUGAGCAUGGGAGAUCUUUCCAUCUUCCGAUAUCUUCUUCUAAUUAGUUGUUCAGAGACUGGAUAUUUUUUGUUUUCAUAUAAGUCUUGGACUUGAUUGGUUAGGUUCACACCAAGGUACUUUAUGUCCUUUGUGGCUAUUGUGGAAAGUGUUGUUUCCUUAAUUUCUUUCUCAUGCCUUUUGUCUCUUGUAUACAGAAGGAAUAUGAUUUUUUUUAGUUAAUUUUAUAUCCAGCCCAUUUGCUGAAGAUGUUUAUCAGCUGUAAGAGUUCCCUGAUAGAGUUUUUGGGUCACUCAGGUAUACUAUCAUAUCAUGUAGAAAAAUGCAAAUUGAUCCAUAAUUAUCACCCUGCACAAAACUAAAGCCCAAGUGGAUCAAAGACCUCAACAUAAAACCAGACACACUAAACCUAUUAAAAGAAAAUUUAAGGAAGAGUCUGGAACUCAUUGGCACAAGAGACAACUUCCUGAACAUAAAACCAACAGCACAAGCUCUAAGAGCUACAAUCAAUAAGCUGGACCUCAUGAAACUAAAAAGUUUCUGAAAAGCAAAGGACAUUGUCCUCUGAACAAAACAUCUGCCUACAGACUGGGAAAGGUUCUUCACCAAUCCUAUAUCUGACAGAGGGCUAAUAUUCUGAAUACAGAACAAAGAAAAAUACUAAAAGCUGCAAGGGAAAAAGGCCAAGUAACAUAUAAUGGCAAACCCAUUAGAAUCACACCUGACUUUUCAACAGAGACUAUAAAAGGCAUAAGUGUCUGGACAGAUAACAUGCAGACGCUAAGAGAACACAGAUGUCAGCCCAGGCUACUAUACCCUGCAAAACUCUCAGUCCUCAUAGACAGAGAGAACAAGAUAUUCAAUGACAAAAACUAAUUUCAACAAUACUUACAAACAAAUCCAGCAUUACAGAAGACACUGGAAGGGAAAAUACAACACCUAAAAAAUAACUUAUUUCAAGAACACACAGGAAAUAAAUAGCCUUACUACAGUAAAACAAAAAGCAACCAAGCACACAACCUGAUGACCACAGCCAACAUCGAAUUCAAAGGAUCUAACAGCCACUGGUAAUUAAUCUCUCUCAACAUCAAUGGACUCAACUCUCCAGUAAGAAGACACAGAUUAACAGAAUGGAUACGUAAACAAAACCCAUCAAUCCGUUCCAUACAAGAAACACCCCUAAGGCACAAAGAUAGACAUUACCUGAGGGUAAAAGUUUGGAAGAAAACUUUCCAAGCAAAUGGACCCAAGAAACAAGCAGGAGUAGCCAUUCUAAUAUCUGAUAAAAUACACUUUCAACCAAAAUUAAUAAAAAGAGAUGGGGAAGGACACUGCAUACUCAUUAAGGGAAAAUUCCACCAGGAAGACAUCACAAUCCUCAACAUCUAUACCCCAAAUACAAGAACACAUAUAGAUCCCCACACAUUAAUAGUGGGAGCCUUCAACACCCCACUCUCAACAAAGGACAGGUCAACAAAACAGAAAUUAAACAAAGAAACAAUAUCUCUGACAGAGGUCAUGAUUCAAAUGGACCUCACAGACAUUUACAGAACUUUACACCUAAACACAAAAGAAUUUAUGUUCUUCUCAGGACCUCAUGGAACCUUCUCCGAAAUAGACCAUAUAGUUGGUCACAAAGCAAGCCUCAACAGAUACAAGAAGAUUGAAAUAAUCCCUUGUAUCUUGUCUGAUCACCAUGGAAUAAAACUGGACCUCAACAACAACAGAAAUAGCAAAAAGCCUACACACACAUGGAAACUGAACAAUUUGUUACUAAAUGACAACUGCAUCAGGGAAGAAAUAAAGAAAGAAAUUAAAGUCUUCCUAGAACUCAAUGAAAAUGAAGACACAACAUACCCAAACUUGUGGGACAUAAUGAAAGCAGUGCUAAGAGGAAAGUUCAUAGCACUAAGUGCCUUCAAGAAGAAAUUUGAAACCUCUCAUGCCAGCGACUUAAUGGCUCACAUAAAAGCCCUAGAAAAAAAAAAGCAGACACACCAAAGAGGAGUAGACAGCUGGAAAUAAGCCCAGGGCCAGAUGAUUUCAGUGCAGAAUUCUACCAGACAUUCAAAGAAGAGCUAACUCUAGGUCUCUUCAAACUGUUCCACAAAAUAGAAACAGAAGGAAGAUUACCAAACUCAUUUUAUGAAGCCACAGUCACCUUGGUACCUAAACCACACAAAGACCCAACAAAGAAGGAGAAUUUCAGGCCAAUCUCCCUUAUGAACAUUGAUGCAAAAACACUCAACAACAUACUUGCGAACUGAACACAAGAACAUAUCAAAGAUAUCAUCCACUAUAACCAAGUAGGCUUCAUCUCAGGAAUGCAGGGGAGGUUCAAUGUAUGGAAAUCCAUCAAUGUGAUCCACCAUAUUAACAAACUGAAAGAAAAAAAAACACAUGAUAAUCUCCCUAGAUGCUGAAAAAGCAUUUGACAAAAUCCAACAUCCAUUCAUGUUUAAAGUCUUAGAGAGAGCAGGGAUACAAGGCACCUAUCUAAACAUAGUAAAGGCAAUAUACAGGAAGCCUAUAGCCAACAUUAAACUGAAAGGAGAGAACAUUAAAGCAAUCCCAUUGAAAUCAGGGACAAGAGAAGGCUGCCCACUCUCUCCAUAUCUCUUCAACAUAGUGCUGGAAGUCCUUGCUAGAGCAAUAAGACAGUUGAAGCAGAUCAAGGGGAUACAGAUUGGAAAGGAAGAAGUCAAAUUAUCGCUAUUUGCAGAUGAUAUGAUAGUAUACAUGAGUGACCCCAAAAACUCUACUAGGGAACUCCUACAGCUGAUAAACACCUUCAGCAAAGUGGCCAGGUACAAAAUUAACUCAAAAAAAUCAGUAGCACUCAUGUAUACAAAAGACAAAAGGGCUGAGAAAGAAAUUAGAGAAACAACACCCUUCACAAUAGCCACAAAUGACAUAAAGUACCUUGGUGUAACCCUAACCAAGCAAGUCAAAGACUUGUAUAAAAAAAAUUUCAAGUCUCUGAAGAAAGAAUUAGAAGAAGAUAUGAGAAGAUGGAAAGAUCUUCCAUGCUCAUAGCUUGUCAAGAUUAAUAUAGUAAAAAUGGCUAUCUUACCAAAAGCAAUCUACAGAUUCAAUGCAAUUCCCAUCAAAUUGCCAACAAUUCUUUACAGACCUGGAAAGAAAAAUUCUCAACUUCAUAUGGAAUAACAAUUAAUGCCAUUACGUGCACUAUUGAUAAGCUCUUAAAAUUAUAAAAGGAAUAUAUUUAACAAAAAGAUAAUUUAAUCAUAGAGAUAAUAGAUGGCUCAUAAUAUUUGUUUCACUGAACUAUCCCCCAGGAUGGUAGCAUAUUGCAUGUGAUUUAUGAGUGAGUUGCUAUCAAGUACUAUUUAUAAAUAAAAUGAUCACUUGCUUUCCUGCUGAAUAUCAAAUUUAAGCUUAUAAAAGUUUCAAUGUGUUAAAAUAUAGAAGAGUAAGAGUUUAUGUACUAGAAGUUUUACAAAAAUGAAAAUAACAUACACUGAUGUGCUUAAAUAUCGUAAAGCAAAAGUAAUGCUUAUUUGAAAUUUGACUUUUGAGAAAAUAAUAAACUUGAAUUAAUUAUGUAAAAAAAAAAAAAAAAAGAAACCCAGAAUUACUAAAACCAUCCUCUACAAUAAAAGAUCUUCUGGAGGUAUCUCUAUCCCUGAUCUCAAGCUGUACUACAGAGCAAAAAAUGCAUGGUACUUGAACAGAAACAGAAUGGUGAAUCAAUGGAACCAAACAGAAGACCCAGAAAUAAACCCACACACUUAUGGACACCUGAUUUUUGACAAAGAUGCCAAAAUCAUACAAUGGAAAAAAGAUAACAUCUUCAUCAAAUGGUGCUGGUCCAACUGGAUGUCUACAUGUAGAAAAAUGAAAAUAGAUCCAUACUUAUCACCCUGCACAAAACUGAAGUCCAAGUGGAUCAAAGACCUAAACAUAAAACCAGACACAUUAAAUCGGCUAGAAAAAAUAGGGGGGGAAUACCCUAGAACUCAUUGGUACAGGAAAAAACUUCCUAAACAGAACACCAACUGCACAGGCUCUAAGAGCAACAAUCAAUAAAUGGGACCUCAUGAAAUUGAAAAGCUUCUGUAAAGCAAAGGACACCGUAAUCAAAACAAAGCGACUGCCUACCAAUUGGGAAAGAAUCAUCAGCAACCCUUUAUGUGACAGAGGACUCAUAUCAAGUAUAUAUAAAGAACUAAAGAAGCUGAAAAGCAGCAAACCAAGUAAUCCACUUAAAAAAUGGGGAACAGACCUAGACAGAGAAUUCUCUGUAGAGGAAUAUUGAAUGGCAGAGAAGCACUUAAAGAAAUGCUCAACCUCAUUAGCCAUUAGGGAAAUGCAAAUCAAAACAACCCUGAGAUUUCACCUUACACCCAUCAGAAUUGCCAAGAUGAAAAACUCCAGUGACAACACAUGCUGGAGAGGUUAUGGAGAAAGGGGAACCCUUCUCCACUGCUUGUCGGAAUGUAAACUUGUACAACCACUCUGUAAAUCAAUCUGGCACUUUCUCAGACAACUAGGAAUAGUGAUUCCUCAAGAUCCAGCCAUACCACUCCUAGGUAUAUAUCCAAAAGAGGCUCAAGUACACAAAAAGUUCAAUUGCUCAACCAUAUUUGUAGCAGCUUUAUUUGUAAUAGCCAGAAGCUGGAAACAGCCCAGGUGCCCCUCAACUGAAGAAUGGAUGCAGAAACUGUGGUGCAUUUAUACAAUGGAGUAUUAUUCGGCAAUGAAAAAUAAGGAAAUCAUGAAAUUUGCAGGUAAAUGGUGGGACCUAGAGUUCCUGUUUUCCUCCCUAAAUUCUAUGUCUCCAGGAAUUUUUCAGUUUGUGUUUUCUUUAAUGUUUCUAUUUCCAACUUGAGAUAUUAUACUGUUUUUUCCCCUUUACAUGUUUGUUUGUACUUUCCUAUAUUUCAUUUAGUGAUUUAUUUAUUUCCUCUCUAAAGGCCAUGAGCUAUUUUACUGUGCUUUAAUUUAUUUCUUUACGGAUUUUAUUUGUUUCCUCGUUUAUUAACUUCUCAAGCAUAGAUUUAAGAUCAUUUUCUGUGUUUCAGUUGAGAUAGGGUAUUCAAGGCUGCUUGACUCAGGAUAACUGGGUUCUGGAAUGCCAUAUUGUUUUUCCUUUUGUUGAUUAUGUUUUUACAUGAUCAUUUUUCCAUCUGGUUGUCCCUGGCCUUGGCUGUUAGAUCCUGUUGCUAUUGUUCUUGGCAAUGAAGGAAGAGCUUUGGACAGGAAGCUGGAUGUCCUGCAAGAACUCUUCUCAGUUUGGUGGGAAUGAUUGUGCAUUGGUGGGUAGAUCUGAGAGACCUGCCUAAAGCUCUCCUCAGAUGUGUAUCCUGGGUUGCAAGUGGAUUCCUCAGGAACUCAGAGAUCCUCCAGUUGCCAAGGGAAGUCCUCAAGUCAACUGCCCCUCUACUGGCUUUCUUGCUACAAGAUCAGGAAUCAAAGAAGAAGAAGGAGAAGAGGAGGAGAAACAAAUGGAGGAGGAGGUGGAGCAUGAACUUGGAAGGGGACACUCUCUACUAAUGACUCAGGCCACAGUCUUCUUCAUGAUCGAAAGCUACAUUCUUUGAAAGACUUUAAUGUGACACAAGUAUCUGAAUACUCCACUACCAACAGAAUCUAUGUUCAUGAGAUCUAUUACAGUUAACACAGAAAGAGUGGGAUAACCAAAAUACAAGACUUCAGUGGAACAAUGUUUACCAAUGAGACAAGAUAUGAGGAAGAGACCCAGAAGUGCAGAAAGCAGUCUACAAACAUACACCUUUGUGCUUUGAUUUUUAAGAGAAAAAGAAUGUGACAGUGGGGGAAUCCAAGAUGGUGGAUACUAGUGUACAGUGCAUCUGAGGGGUACAGGAUCUGAAACUCCAAAAUUGGUUAUCUGAGCCUGCCAGGAGCCACUGCCAGCUAGUGGAAAGAUACAGACAGCUGCAACAAGGUUGUGGUCAUGUCUAGUAAUUAUAAAAAUAACAAACAGAGAGGAUCCAAGAUGGUGGUUCUGGGAGGACACACAUACUUCCUGACCAGCAGCACAGCAGGAUCUGCACAGUGGCCAGCAGACAGAACUCUGGGCCCUAAAACACCAGCGAUUGUGUUUCCCAGAAAACCAGCAUCAACCUGACCAUUGUCAGAAAGAACAGCAACAGGAAGAAGCAGAAGCCAUUCCACUUUACUAGUCCUGAGAAUCCUGAACAGAGCACAGGGAAUCUUAUGGAAGACGGGGGAUACAAAAGAACCCAGAGGGGACAGGAGCCACACAAGGAGACCCACAAAACUGAAAAAAGCAGGCCCCAGAGGGGACUGCAGAGAAAGAUACAUUCACCAAAGACCAUAUAUAAAAAGGACCUAGACCCCCUGUUCAGAUGUAACCCAUAGAUAGCUUAGUAAACAUGUGGGUUUCCCAGUAAGGGGAGAAGAGGCAGUCUCUAAUAUGAACUCUAUUGCCUGUUCCAUUUAUCAUUUCUGCCUGGUGUGGUGACUUUGGCAGCCCACAGAGGAAGAGGAUCCAGGCAGUUCUGAUGAGACGUGAUAAGCUAGAGUCAGACAGUAGGGGAAGAGACCUUCCACUAUUCAGUGGACUACAGAAGAGGUGUAGGGGAGGAAGAGAGAGGGAGGGUGAAACCAGGAGGAGAUGAAGGAGGGGGCUACAA
This is a long non-coding RNA of Meriones unguiculatus (Mongolian gerbil), 7320 nucleotides long. RefSeq lists it as uncharacterized. The record is from RefSeq and is a predicted model, not a curated record. Lineage: Eukaryota; Metazoa; Chordata; Mammalia; Rodentia; Muridae. The transcript has 8 exons.